Long non-coding RNA from Daucus carota subsp. sativus, 1335 nucleotides. RefSeq lists it as uncharacterized. NCBI's taxonomy places the organism in Eukaryota, Viridiplantae, Streptophyta, Magnoliopsida, Apiales, Apiaceae. The record is from RefSeq and is a predicted model, not a curated record. The transcript has 3 exons.
GCAAGUCCAACAGUGUCUUAGCAAAUGCCUUAUAAAUAUUAUAAAAUAUAGUGUCCUAGUGAUUUAGGACAUCAUCUCAAUGUAUCAACUCCAACAACAUGCCCUAUUAUUGUGCCUUAUUAUUAAAAUAAUAAUAUAUAUUGAAAUUGUUAUUGGAAAGAAAUGAAAAGGAGGGAGGAGAGAGAUGUAGUGGAAUGGUAAAAAACUAUUUUUUUAUUGAUAGGGCAUACAAAAUGGUGCCUCAAAAAUAAGGCACUUGUUACAUAUCCUAGUGUUUUAGGGCAACACUAGGACAUUGUUGGAGCAUUGAUUUGCUUCACAUGCCUUAAAUUUUGAUUUAGGACAUUAAUAUAGGGCACUCUUGGACUUGCUCUUAGGCCGCAGGAUACAAGUGGCAAAGUGAUUAAUUCUAUGUACGUCAAACUCCUAUACAUGCUAUCACAAACUCAGAACAUACAUAUCCGCACUCUCUCUCUCCCUCUCCCUCACCCUCUCCCCCUCUCUCUCUCCCUCUCUCUCUCUCCCCCUCUCCCUCACUCACUCAAAAAAAGAAACCGAAGAAAAUAAGUGCUUACUAACCGUUAAUGACAAGUAAAAGUUUCAAAAUCUCCAGACGGUUGACGGAAACUUGCGGAUCCAUUUUUCCAGUCUCCUAGGAACCCGUGCUCUGGUGUAUCCUGCAUUAAUCAGUGAAGCACACAAGGACGCUCGAUAUCAAAAAUCCCUCACUUCCGCUGUGUUCAACCCUAGGUCAAUCACUGUGUAGAACUAAUUCAACGACGGACUAGUGGUUUGCAGGACGCAUCAAAUUUUGGCGAAAAUGAGUUCGGGACUCUUUGUUGUAGCACGAUGGUAUCAGUUUUUAGCUCACUAUGCGAAGUUAACACGCUGAAUGUUCUGUCUUCUGUCUCAGAUUAUAAACCGGACUCUUUUCGUUGUACCUUCUCCAUAUCAGACUACUAUGCGAUGUUAACAUACAUUUUUAAGGAUGACUUUGUAGUUGAGGAAGGCUCGAUGAAUAUGAAGAGGUGUUGGUGUAGAUGUCGAGCAAGAGGAAAAGUUGCAUCAGGAUCAGUCCUAGAAGAAUGAUGCUAUGGAUUCAAUAAACAGUUGUUUUUGCCUAUAUUGCCUACGACAUUGUAGCCUGAAAGAUUUUUUAAAUGCUUCAUUAUCAUCUCCAAUGGUUUUUCCCCCUAUUUCCUGUUAUCCGGGACAAUCUGUUUGUACUUAAAUACCUAGAAAUUGGAGAUUGCACCAAUUGAAAUAUGAACUACUUUUACAAGUGUAAUUGACACGUACUUGGAAUAUGGAUGUGAAGUUGAUUUUUUUGUAGGA